This 504-nucleotide ribosomal RNA is filed under the name Rhabdophis himalayanus (Orange-collared keelback). RNAcentral describes it as "partial large subunit ribosomal RNA". It matches the Rfam family "Bacterial large subunit ribosomal RNA", at positions 1806 to 2592 of the family's 2925-position model. Lineage: Eukaryota; Metazoa; Chordata; Lepidosauria; Squamata; Natricidae. The record is from RNAcentral.
AUCAAAAACAUAACCUUUAGCCAAGCAAGUAUUAAAGGCAAUGCCUGCCCAGUGAAUAAUUAAACGGCCGCGGUACCCUAACCGUGCAAAGGUAGCAUAAUCAUUUGUCUAUUAACUGUAGACCUGUAUGAAAGGCAAAAUGAGGGUUUAACUGUCUCUUGUAGUAAAUCUAUUAAACUGAUCUACUAGUAAAAAAGCUAGAAUACCCCCAUAAGACCAGAAGACCCUGUGAAGCUUUAACUAAACUAUUAAACCAAAUAAUAACUACUUUAGGUUGGGGCGACCUUGGAAAUAAAAAGAACUUCCACACAUAAAUAAAAUCUAAAGGCUAACAAGCCAAUUAACGACCCAGUAACACUGAUAAUUGAACCAAGUUACUCCAGGGAUAACAGCGCCAUCUUCUUCAAGAGCCCAUAUCAAAAAGAAGGUUUACGACCUCGAUGUUGGAUCAGGACACCCCAAUGGUGCAGCCGCUAUUAAAGGUUCGUUUGUUCAACGAUUAAU